This 459-nucleotide ribosomal RNA is filed under the name uncultured bacterium. RNAcentral describes it as "partial 16S ribosomal RNA". It matches the Rfam family "Bacterial small subunit ribosomal RNA", at positions 338 to 795 of the family's 1533-position model. The record is from RNAcentral.
CCUACGGGUGGCAGCAGUGAGGAAUAUUGGUCAAUGGCCGGAAGGCUGAACCAGCCAAGCCGCGUGAAGGACGAAGGUGCCAAGCAUUUUAAACUUCUUUUGUCACAGGACAAAAUCAGGCUCGAGAGCCUGACCGAGGGUACUUAAAGAAAAAGCAUCGGCUAACUCCGUGCCAGCGGCCGCGGUCAUACGGAGGAUGCGAGCGUUAUCCGGAUUAAUUGGGUUGAAAGGGUGCGUAGGAGGAACGUUAAGUCAGUGGUCACAGUGAGGUGCUUACCCCCUUCCCGCCAUUGAAACUGGCGCUCUUGUGGGGAAGAGAAGUAUGCGGAAUGCGUGGUGUAGAGGUGAAAUGCAUAGAUAUCACGCAGAACCCCGAUUGCGAAGGCAGCAUGCCGGCUUCCGACUGACGCUGAAGCACGAAAGCGUGGGGAUCGAACAGGAUUAGAUACCCUUGUAGUC